RNAcentral lists this ribosomal RNA (405 nucleotides) under uncultured bacterium. RNAcentral describes it as "bacterial SSU rRNA". It matches the Rfam family "Bacterial small subunit ribosomal RNA", at positions 28 to 417 of the family's 1533-position model. The record is from RNAcentral.
GAUGAACGCUGGCGGCAUGCCUAACACAUGCAAGUCGAACGGACUCUUAUAUUAGAAAAUCUCUACAUGCUUAGAGGUUCCCUAAUAUCAGAGUUAGUGGCGGACGGGUGAGUAACACGUUAGUACCUGCCCUUCAGUGGGGAAUAACUCGGCGAAAGUCGAGCUAAUACCGCAUAUGCUCGUUUACGAGUAAAGACUUCGGUCGCUGAAGGAGGGGCUUGCGUCUGAUUAGCUAGUUGGUGGAGUAAUAGCCCACCAAGGCGACGAUCAGUAGCUGGUUCGAGAGGAUGACCAGCCACACUGGGACUGAGACACGGCCCAGACUCCUACGGGAGGCAGCAGUGGGGAAUUUUGGACAAUGGGCGCAAGCCUGAUCCAGCCAUGCCGCGUGAGUGAAGAAGGCCU